RNAcentral lists this ribosomal RNA (459 nucleotides) under uncultured bacterium. Its description in RNAcentral is "partial 16S ribosomal RNA". It matches the Rfam family "Bacterial small subunit ribosomal RNA", at positions 338 to 795 of the family's 1533-position model. The record is from RNAcentral.
CCUACGGGGUGCAGCAGUGAGGAAUAUUGGUCAAUGGCCGAGAGGCUGAACCAGCCAAGUCGCGUGAGGGAAGACGGCCCUAUGGGUUGUAAACCUCUUUUGUCGGGGAGUAAAACGAGUCACGUGUGACUCUUUGAGAGUACCCGAAGAAAAAGCAUCGGCUAACUCCGUGCCAGCAGCCGCGGUAAUACGGAGGAUGCGAGCGUUAUCCGGAUUUAUUGGGUUUAAAGGGUGCGCAGGCGGAGGUGCAAGUCAGCGGUCAAAUUGGGGGGCUCAACCCCGUACUGCCGUUGAAACUGGAUGCCUUGAGUGCGCGAGAGGUAUGCGGAAUGCGUGGUGUAGCGGUGAAAUGCAUAGAUAUCACGCAGAACUCCGAUUGCGAAGGCAGCAUACCGGCGCGCAACUGACGCUCAUGCACGAAAGCGUGGGUAUCGAACAGGAUUAGAUACCCGAGUAGUC